CAUGCCAAGUACAGAAUCAUCCACUUGGUGUGACCCCUACUGCUGCAUAAGUUAUCUAACCAUCCCGCAGCCUGAGGUUGAUGCUCAGGAAGAGUGAUGUGGGUGUCCCAUCAGCCUGGCAGUUCCUGAAAUGACAAAAAAAUUGGCCCUCUGUCUCUUUAAAAACUUCUGCCCUUUCUGAAACUCCUCCUUCAGGAAGUCAUCGCAACAUGGCUCCUCUAUUAACCCUUCAACAACGUUUUUAUCAGCGUUUCACAGAGGAGUAGCUGCUAGAAUGAGCUCAGCAGAUGCUCAGCUCCACCAGGUGUUUGCUAGUUGCUGCUGGCUAGUUUGAAGGAGUUGAGUUGGGAGGUCACAGGGGAGAGGGCUGCUCUGUGAGGAGGAAGCUUGGAAACUGCCUUUGAGGUGCGGCUCAAAGACGGCACACUGUUCCUCCAAGCAUUUUGCACAGCUGAAUGGUUGCCAUGGAGAUUAAAGAAUUUCUCAAAAAUGCAUGAAAGAAUCAAAGCAACACUCUAGAAAAACGGUUCCAUCUGCAAAAUAUGUUCUCCCAGGUGUUUGAUGGAUUCUACGUCUUCCUGUUAGAAUUAAAAAGCACGAGACGAGUUGUGUUUUGUUGGCCAGCAGGUCUGAAAGCAGCUGCCCAGAGAGGAAUGUGGACUGCUUUUGGCUUCAGCCUGCAGGAUUUGGAUUCUGAAUUCCCUUCAAACUUUGAGUUUGUCUCCUCUCUUGGCGGCGCGCAGCAGACUGAAUAAACAGUCGGGUUGCCAUUCUCCAACACCCAAGCUGUCUGCCCAACAUUAUUAAUGGUAGCAGAGAGUGGGUAGCCUUUUUGAAGUACCAACGUCUUGGAGAGAGACUGCAAAAGCUAGUUUAUAUUUAACCCAGACUUGCAGGAAGUGGGAGCAAUAUAUGGCCUGUUAAACAGUAAUCAAUCAUUUCUUAAGAUAGCGUCAGAAGAAUUUAAUAGAGUGCUGUUUUUUUUUAUGUUCCAGCUCCACAGCCUUUAUUUUCCACAUUCUGCUUUGAAUAUUUCCUCCAAAGCUUUCCUUGACUGAAUGUUGGUUUGAUGUUUUUUUAACCUGAAUCCACUGAAGCUUGAAGGAGUCUAGAUGGAGUAUGGAAUAUGGUAAACAAGACAAGCUAUUGUUUGUGUGCCCCCUCUAAGAUAAAACCUGUGUUUCUGUGAGCCUGAAGAGCUGAAGACUGAGGAAGUGUCUGUCAGGGAAGUGUUUAUGAGGAAGAGAGGAAGAAAAGCGGGCGCUCGGGGGAGCUGCCCUUUCCUCCUGAUACAUCUCCACUCCUGCUCCAACUGUGUGUUUCUCUGAGUGUGUCCACUCCAGGCUCUAAAACGGGGAGGAAAAGUGAGGGAGCACCCAGGGGGUCUCAGCUCCUGCCAGCGUCAACAGCCGGAAAAGCGAUUAGAAUUAAAAG
Molecule: long non-coding RNA, 1434 nt
Organism: Gambusia affinis (western mosquitofish)
Lineage: Eukaryota; Metazoa; Chordata; Actinopteri; Cyprinodontiformes; Poeciliidae
Exons: 3
Source: RefSeq, a predicted model, not a curated record